GCCUCAGUAGCGGCGAGUGAAGCGGCAAAAGCUCAAAUUUGAAAUCUGGCGUCUUUGGCGUCCGAGUUGUAAUUUGAAGAAGGUAUCUUUGGGCCCGGCUCUUGUCUAUGUUCCUUGGAACAGGACGUCACAGAGGGUGAGAAUCCCGUGCGAUGAGAUGACCCGGGUCUGUGUAAAGUUCCUUCGACGAGUCGAGUUGUUUGGGAAUGCAGCUCUAAGUGGGUGGUAAAUUCCAUCUAAAGCUAAAUAUUGGCGAGAGACCGAUAGCGAACAAGUACAGUGAUGGAAAGAUGAAAAGAACUUUGAAAAGAGAGUGAAAAAGUACGUGAAAUUGUUGAAAGGGAAGGGCUUGAGAUCAGACUUGGUAUUUUGCAUGUUGCUCUCUCGGGGGCGGCCGCUGCGGUUUACCGGGCCAGCAUCGGUUUGGAGCGGCAGGAUAAUGGCGGAGGAAUGUGGCACGGCUUCUGCUGUGUGUUAUAGCCUCUGACGAUACUGCCAGCCUAGACCGAGGACUGCGGUUUUUACCUAGGAUGUUGGCAUAAUGAUCUUAAGUCGCCCGUCUUGAAACACGGACCAAGGAGUCUAACGUCUAUGCGAGUGUUUGGGUGUAAAACCCGUACGCGUAAUGAAAGUGAACGAAGGUGGGGGCCCAUUAGGGUGCACCAUCGACCGAUCCUGAUGUGUUCGGAUGGAUUUGAGUAAGAGCAUAGCUGUUGGGACCCGAAAGAUGGUGAACUAUGCCUGAAUAGGGUGAAGCCAGAGGAAACUCUGGUGGAGGCUCGUAGCGGUUCUGACGUGCAAAUCGAUCGUCGAAUUUGGGUAUA
Molecule: ribosomal RNA, 824 nt
Filed under: Candida albicans
Lineage: Eukaryota; Fungi; Ascomycota; Pichiomycetes; Serinales; Debaryomycetaceae
Description: partial large subunit ribosomal RNA
Rfam family: Eukaryotic large subunit ribosomal RNA
Source: RNAcentral